This 443-nucleotide ribosomal RNA is filed under the name uncultured Pelagibacterales bacterium. RNAcentral's name for it is "bacterial SSU rRNA". It matches the Rfam family "Bacterial small subunit ribosomal RNA", at positions 1074 to 1533 of the family's 1533-position model. The record is from RNAcentral. Lineage: Bacteria; Pseudomonadati; Pseudomonadota; Alphaproteobacteria; Candidatus Pelagibacterales.
AGUGGGUAGUCCGCACGAGCGCACCUCACUUUUAGUUGCCAUCAUUAAGUUGGGCACUCUGAAAGAACUGCCAGUGAUAAGCUGGAGGAAGGUGGGGAUGACGUCAAGUCCUCAUGGCCCUUACGUGUGGGGCUACACACGUGCUACAAUGGUAUCUACAACAGGAAGCAAGACUGCGAAGUUAAGCAAAUCCCUAAAAGAUACCUCAGUUCGGAUUGCACUCUGCAACUCGAGUGCAUGAAGCUGGAAUUACUAGUAAUCGUGGAUCAGCGUGCCACGGUGAAUGCGUUCCCGGGUCUUGUACACACCGCCCGUCACACCAUGGGAGUUGGUUCUACCUUAAGGCAAGGUUUCAAACCCUUGACCACGGUAUAGUCAGCGACUGGGGUGAAGUCGUAACAAGGUAGCCGUAGGGGAACCUGCGGCUGGAUUACCUCCUUUCU